Non-coding RNA from Castor canadensis (American beaver), 672 nucleotides. The record is from RefSeq and is a predicted model, not a curated record. Lineage: Eukaryota; Metazoa; Chordata; Mammalia; Rodentia; Castoridae.
GAAACGUGAUCCACCUGAGUAGCUAAGGUUUCAGGCGUGAGCAAGCAGCACCCAGCAAGAACCAAGGUGUUGAGAGGUCUGGCAUGAGGGACUCCAUUUCAACUUGGAAGGCCUUUCACCCUCAUCUCUAGAAACUGUUUGUCUCUGAGCUGUUUCCUCGGAGGGUUUUUGGAUUGGUCGUUUUCAUCUUUCGACGUCUCAUGGAAGGACUUGCUUGGGCGGGCCUGGAAACGUGAUCCACCUGAGUAGCUAAGGUUUCAGGCGUGAGCAAGCAGCACCCAGCAAGAACCAAGGUGUUGAGAGGUCUGGCAUGAGGGACUCCAUUUCAACUUGGAAGGCCUUUCACCCUCAUCUCUAGAAACUGUUUGUCUCUGAGCUGUUUCCUCGGAGGGUUUUUGGAUUGGUCGUUUUCAUCUUUCGACGUCUCAUGGAAGGACUUGCUUGGGCGGGCCUGGAAACGUGAUCCACCUGAGUAGCUAAGGUUUCAGGCGUGAGCAAGCAGCACCCAGCAAGAACCAAGGUGUUGAGAGGUCUGGCAUGAGGGACUCCAUUUCAACUUGGAAGGCCUUUCACCCUCAUCUCUAGAAACUGUUUGUCUCUGAGCUGUUUCCUCGGAGGGUUUUUGGAUUGGUCGUUUUCAUCUUUCGACGUGAGGAUUAGUUUUUUUCUCUA